UUAUUCCUACGGGGGGCAGCAGUGGGGAAUAUUGCACAAUGGGGGAAACCCUGAUGCAGCGACGCCGCGUGAGUGAAGAAGUAUUUCGGUAUGUAAAGCUCUAUCAGCAGGGAAGAUAAUGACGGUACCUGACUAAGAAGCUCCGGCUAAAUACGUGCCAGCAGCCGCGGUAAUACGUAUGGAGCAAGCGUUAUCCGGAUUUACUGGGUGUAAAGGGAGCGCAGACGGCAAGGCAAGUCUGAAGUGAAAGGCAGGGGCUUAACCCCUGAACUGCUUUGGAAACUGCCAUGCUAGAGUGCUGGAGG
Molecule: ribosomal RNA, 305 nt
Filed under: uncultured bacterium
Lineage: Bacteria
Description: bacterial SSU rRNA
Rfam family: Bacterial small subunit ribosomal RNA
Source: RNAcentral